AUGCAGCUCUAAGUGGGUGGUAAAUUCCAUCUAAAGCUAAAUAUUGGCGAGAGACCGAUAGCGAACAAGUACAGUGAUGGAAAGAUGAAAAGAACUUUGAAAAGAGAGUGAAAAAGUACGUGAAAUUGUUGAAAGGGAAGGGCUUGAGAUCAGACUUGGCAUUUUGCAUGUUGCUUCUUCGGGGGCGGCCUCUGCGGUUUGUCGGGCCAGCAUCAGUUUGGGCGGCAGGACAAUCGCGUGGGAAUGUGGCACGGCCUCGGCUGUGUGUUAUAGCCCGCGUGGAUACUGCCAGCCUAGACUGAGGACUGCGGUUUAUACCUAGGAUGUUGGCAUAAUGAUCUUAAGUCGCCCGUCUUGAAACACGGACCAAGGAGUCUAACGUCUAUGCGAGUGUUUGGGUGUAAAACCCGUACGCGUAAUGAAAGUGAACGUAGGUGGGGGCCCUCUCGGGGGUGCACCAUCGACCGAUCCUGAUGUCUUCGGAUGGAUUUGAGUAAGAGCAUAGCUGUUGGGACCCGAAAGAUGGUGAACUAUGCCUGAAUAGGGUGAAGCCAGAGGAAACUCUGGUGGAGGCUCGUAGCGGUUCUGACGUGCAAAUCGAUCGUCGAAUUUGGGUAUAGGGGCGAAAG
Molecule: ribosomal RNA, 629 nt
Filed under: Candida viswanathii
Lineage: Eukaryota; Fungi; Ascomycota; Pichiomycetes; Serinales; Debaryomycetaceae
Description: eukaryotic LSU rRNA
Rfam family: Eukaryotic large subunit ribosomal RNA
Source: RNAcentral